Molecule: unclassified non-coding RNA, 411 nt
Filed under: Hevea brasiliensis (rubber tree)
Lineage: Eukaryota; Viridiplantae; Streptophyta; Magnoliopsida; Malpighiales; Euphorbiaceae
Source: RNAcentral
UGUGCUUAUGCAAUUCACAAACGAAUAAACAAGAUUGGCUCAUGCUCAUAUUGAAGGUUAAACAAACUGACCAGUAGAACUAAAUUAAACUCAUGGACAUAACAUCCAUAGUUACCAUUCUGAAAAGUUUGCCAAGACCCACCUACUUGUAUUAGUGCUCUACUUCUGUAACAAAAUUCAGUUUAGCAAAAUCAGGUACAAAUCUUAUCCUAAACAAUAAGCACCAUUCAGUCUAUGCUACCAUAUAACUACCUAACCCAAAACACAACAUAAAUCUUACCUACUGUUACUCUGGAUAUAUUGAAAAACAUAUGCUUAAUAAACACAACAAAAACUCAGAACUGAAAAGGAGACAAAUUUCGACCUUGCUUUUAGUUGUAAGGCUAGCUUUUGACUUAUAGGGCGCUUAGG